CCUACGGGUGGCUGCAGUAAGGAAUAUUGGUCAAUGGACGAAAGUCUGAACCAGCCAUCCCGCGUGCAGGAUGAAAGCCCUAUGGGUUGUAAACUGCUUUUAGCAGAGAAGAAAAGCUUUCAUUAAUGAGAGUCUGACGGUAUCUGCAGAAUAAGCACCGGCUAACUCCGUGCCAGCAGCCGCGGUAAUACGGAGGGUGCGAGCGUUAUCCGGAAUUACGGGUGCGAAGGGGUGCUAAGGCGGAGUAUGUGAAAUCUUGUCGCUUAACUAUAAAAUGGCCAAUGAUACUGGUACUCUUGAAUUGGGUUGCGGUUAGCGGAAUGUGACAUGUAGCGGUGAAAUGCAUAGAUAUGUCAUGGAACACCAAUUGCGAAGGCAGCUAACUGGGCCUUGAUUGACGCUGAGGCACGAAAGCGUGGGUAGCGAACAGGAUUAGAUACCCGAGUAGUC
This 450-nucleotide ribosomal RNA is filed under the name uncultured bacterium. RNAcentral's name for it is "partial 16S ribosomal RNA". It matches the Rfam family "Bacterial small subunit ribosomal RNA", at positions 338 to 795 of the family's 1533-position model. The record is from RNAcentral.